Molecule: ribosomal RNA, 444 nt
Filed under: Triticum aestivum (bread wheat)
Lineage: Eukaryota; Viridiplantae; Streptophyta; Magnoliopsida; Poales; Poaceae
Description: partial small subunit ribosomal RNA
Source: RNAcentral
AUGAAUACUUCAAGGAAGGCUGUGAAAACUGGAGUGUUGAUAAAACAACAGUUUGUUUGCAACAAGUUUCGAAAGCCUGAAGCUGAUGACGGAGGGGCAAAAAAAAUUCCUGUGCUGGAUGAUAUCGUUGAGCAAACAAAAGAUGAUGAUGAAGACGAGGAUAUUGUCUUUCUUGAUGAUGAUAAUAAAACCAAAAAGAGGAGCAAGAAGCGGAAGAGAGAUAAAAUAGUGCAAACUGGUUGCAAAGCUAAGAUGGUUGUCAAACUGAUAGAUGGCAGAUGGGAAGUGAUAUAUUUUGUUGGCGAGCACAACCAUCCACUAGUUGACAAACCAAGUUUGACUAAGUACUUGAGAUCGCACCAAUGUAUCCCACCAGAAGAAAAGGCAUUCCUUACCCACCUACAUAACUGCAACUUGACAACAGUAUUAUUUGCCUGCUCUUGA